GACGAACGCUGGCGGCGUGCUAAACACAUGCAAGUCGAACGAAGAGCGAUGGAAGCUUGCUUCUAUCAAUCUUAGUGGCGAACGGGUGAGUAACGCGUAAUCAACCUGCCCUUCAGAGGGGGACAACAGUUGGAAACGACUGCUAAUACCGCAUACGAUCUAAACUCGGCAUCGAGGAUAGAUGAAAGGUGGCCUCUACAUGUAAGCUAUCACUGAAGGAGGGGAUUGCGUCUGAUUAGCUAGUUGGAGGGGUAACGGCCCACCAAGGCGAUGAUCAGUAGCCGGUCUGAGAGGAUGAACGGCCACAUUGGGACUGAGACACGGCCCAGACUCCUACGGGAGGCAGCAGUGGGGAAUCUUCCGCAAUGGACGAAAGUCUGACGGAGCAACGCCGCGUGAGUGAUGACGGCCUUCGGGUUGUAAAGCUCU
Molecule: ribosomal RNA, 429 nt
Filed under: Veillonella parvula
Lineage: Bacteria; Bacillati; Bacillota; Negativicutes; Veillonellales; Veillonellaceae
Description: bacterial SSU rRNA
Rfam family: Bacterial small subunit ribosomal RNA
Source: RNAcentral